UCUGCAUUCAUAGACCUUCCUAUUCAGUGAUCAGCCUGAGCCCUUACCAUAGAACACUUACCAUAGAUAUGGGAUUGAGCUGGGUUUUUCUUGUUGCUCUUUUGAAAGGCAUUCAAUGUGAGGUGCAGCUCGUGGAGACAGGAGGAGGCUUGGUGCGGCCUGGGAGUUCUCUAAAACUCUCCUGUGCAACCUCUGGAUUUACAUUCAGUAACACCUGGAUGAACUGGGUUCGCCAGGCUCCAGGGAAGGGGCUCGAGUGGGUUGCUCUAAUUAAAGAUAAAUAUAGUAAUUAUGAAGCAAACUAUGCAGAGUCUGUAAAAGGCAGAUUCACCAUCUCAAGAGACGAUUCGAAAAGCAGAGUCUACUUACAGAUGAACACCUUAAGGGAUCAGGACACUGCCACUUAUUACUGUACAAGGCACACUGAGAGGCCAUUAGUGUGA
Molecule: non-coding RNA, 443 nt
Organism: Rattus norvegicus (Norway rat)
Lineage: Eukaryota; Metazoa; Chordata; Mammalia; Rodentia; Muridae
Source: the annotation of a RefSeq genome assembly